This is a long non-coding RNA of Lolium rigidum, 249 nucleotides long. RefSeq lists it as uncharacterized. The record is from RefSeq and is a predicted model, not a curated record. The transcript has 3 exons. NCBI's taxonomy places the organism in Eukaryota, Viridiplantae, Streptophyta, Magnoliopsida, Poales, Poaceae.
UUAGUGUCCGUCAGCUGUGCGGAAAUACGAGUAUCUCCAGUGGAGUCCAUACUCGAUGGUAGGCUUGAUGGGUAUUGCAAGUGUGCUUGGACUGGUUUCUUGCGGGAGGCACCCUCAAAUAAGAAAAGUGACGCUGCUGCUCUUUUGAAAGAAAAGGACGAGAUUAUCACUCAGGUCAUGGCUGAAGGCGAAGAGCUAUCGAAAAAACAAGCUGCUCAAGAAGCUACUAUACGAAAACCGAGAGCACAG